RNAcentral lists this ribosomal RNA (403 nucleotides) under uncultured bacterium. RNAcentral's name for it is "partial 16S ribosomal RNA". It matches the Rfam family "Bacterial small subunit ribosomal RNA", at positions 30 to 526 of the family's 1533-position model. The record is from RNAcentral.
AUUGAACGCUGGCGGCAGGCCUAACACAUGCAAGUCGAGCGAGCGGCGGACGGGUGAGUAAUGGAUGGGGACUGCCCGAUAGAGGGGGAUAACGGAUGGAAACGGUGGCUAAUAGCGCAUACUAUAGGCUAACCCAUAUGGGAUUAGCGAGUAGGUGGGGUAAAGGCUCACCUAGGCGACGAUCUCUAGCUGGUCUGAGAGGAUGAUCAGCCACACUGGGACUGAGACACGGCCCAGACUCCUACGGAGGCAGCAGUGGGGAAUAUUGCGCAAUGGGCGCAAGCCUGAUGCAGCCAUGCCGCGUGUAUGAAGAAGGCCUUAGGGUUGUAAAGUUCUUUCAUCGGGGAGGCGUUACCCGCAUAGUAAGCACCGGCUAACUCCGUGCCAGCAGCCGCGGUAAUUC